CCUCGUCUUCCUCCCUCUGUGUCCUCACCUCUCCUCCUCCCUCUGCUGUCCUCACCCUCCUCCCUCAGCUGUCCUCACCUCUCCUCCUCCCCCUGCUGUUCUCUCCCCUCCUCCUUCUGGUUAUACAGCCCAUAAACAGUGCUGGCAGCAUCUUCUCUGAUUGUGUCCCCUCCUUUAAAGCCCUAUCCUGGGGCUGGUCACUGGAGUGGAAGCUGUCCAACUUACUUAAUUGUGAGUUCACUGUCACAUUCAGAGAGGAGAACGGGCUUCACUUACUGUUUUUCUCUCUUGCAUGACUGGGUCUCUGCCACUGAUGACACUUGGCACUGCCCCCCUCCCUGCCUGAAGGCGAGCAGUGCCACAGCCACUGUAUUUAAAACACAGACACUCACUUCUUUUCUCAGGAGAAAGAAGAGCCCUGCUUGGAGAGUUAAUUCGCUCUGCAGCUGACCCUCAGGGGCUGGGCAGUUUGCAGCACUCUCUCUGACCAGCUUCUUGUGCCAUAGGCUUCUUGCAAAGGACCAACAGCCUGGAAGAGAAGAGUCGCCUUGUGAGUGCCUUCAAGGAGAGGCAGUCCUCCAAGAACCUGCUUUCCUGUGAAAACAGCGACCGGGAUGCCCGCUUCCGGCGCACAGAGACAGACUUCUCCAAUCUGUUUGCUAGAGAUCUGCUUCCGGCUAAGAACGGGGAAGAGCAAACCGUGCAAUUCCUCCUGGAAGUGGUGGACAUACUCCUCAACUAUGUCCGCAAGACAUUUGAUCGCUCCACCAAGGUGCUGGACUUCCAUCACCCACACCAGUUGCUGG
Molecule: small RNA, 806 nt
Filed under: Pongo abelii (Sumatran orangutan)
Lineage: Eukaryota; Metazoa; Chordata; Mammalia; Primates; Hominidae
Description: retained intron
Source: RNAcentral